GAUGAACGCUGGCGGCGUGCCUAAUACAUGCAAGUCGAGCGAACGGACGAGAAGCUUGCUUCUCUGAUGUUAGCGGCGGACGGGUGAGUAACACGUGGAUAACCUACCUAUAAGACUGGGAUAACUUCGGGAAACCGGAGCUAAUACCGGAUAAUAUUUUGAACCGCAUGGUUCAAAAGUGAAAGACGGUCUUGCUGUCACUUAUAGAUGGAUCCGCGCUGCAUUAGCUAGUUGGUAAGGUAACGGCUUACCAAGGCAACGAUGCAUAGCCGACCUGAGAGGGUGAUCGGCCACACUGGAACUGAGACACGGUCCAGACUCCUAAGGGAGGCAGCAGUAGGGAAUCUUCCGCAAUGGUCGAAAGCCUGACGGAGCAACGCCGCGUGAGUGAUGAAGGUCUUCGGAUCGUAAAACUCUGUUAUUAGGGAAGAACAUCUGUGUAAGUAACUGUGCACAUCUUGACGGUACCUAAGCAGAAAGCCACGGCUAACUACGUG
Molecule: ribosomal RNA, 497 nt
Filed under: uncultured bacterium
Lineage: Bacteria
Description: partial 16S ribosomal RNA
Rfam family: Bacterial small subunit ribosomal RNA
Source: RNAcentral